This 71-nucleotide transfer RNA is filed under the name Chorotypus fenestratus. Its description in RNAcentral is "tRNA-Ile". Lineage: Eukaryota; Metazoa; Arthropoda; Insecta; Orthoptera; Chorotypidae. The record is from RNAcentral.
AGUGAAAUGCCUGAAUAAAGGAAUAUUUUGAUAGAAUAGAUCAUAUAAUUAAUUUUUAAUUAUUUUCGCUA